GACGAACGCUGGCGGCGUGCUUAACACAUGCAAGUCGAACGGAAAGGCCCUGCUUUUGUGGGGUGCUCGAGUGGCGAACGGGUGAGUAACACGUGAGUAACCUGCCCUUGACUUUGGGAUAACUUCAGGAGACUGGGGCUAAUACCGGAUAGGAGCUCCUGCUGCAUGGUGGGGGUUGGAAAGUUUCGGCGGUUGGGGAUGGACUCGCGGCUUAUCAGCUUGUUGGUGGGGUAGUGGCUUACCGAGGCUUUGACGGGUAGCCGGCCUGAGAGGGUGACCGGCCACAUUGGGACUGAGAUACGGCCCAGACUCCUACGGGAGGCAGCAGUGGGGAAUAUUGCACAAUGGGCGGAAGCCUGAUGCAGCAGCGCCGCGUGCGGGAUGACGGCCUUCGGGUUGUAAACCGCUUUCGCCUGUGACGAAGCGUGAGUGACGGUAAUGGGUAAAGAAGCACCGGCUAACUACGUG
RNAcentral lists this ribosomal RNA (468 nucleotides) under uncultured bacterium. RNAcentral's name for it is "partial 16S ribosomal RNA". It matches the Rfam family "Bacterial small subunit ribosomal RNA", at positions 28 to 507 of the family's 1533-position model. The record is from RNAcentral.